GCCUGGGUGGCUCAGUUGGUUAAGUGUCCGACUUCAGCUCAGGACAUGAUCUCAUGGUUCGUGGGUUCAAGCCCCACCUCAGGCU
Molecule: transfer RNA, 85 nt
Filed under: Felis catus (domestic cat)
Lineage: Eukaryota; Metazoa; Chordata; Mammalia; Carnivora; Felidae
Rfam family: tRNA
About the family: Transfer RNA (tRNA) molecules are approximately 80 nucleotides in length.
Source: Rfam by way of RNAcentral